CUGGCGGCGUGCCUAAUACAUGCAAGUCGAACGAACUCUGGUAUUGAUUGGUGCUUGCAUCAUGAUUUACAUUUGAGUGAGUGGCGAACUGGUGAGUAACACGUGGGAAACCUGCCCAGAAGCGGGGGAUAACACCUGGAAACAGAUGCUAAUACCGCAUAACAACUUGGACCGCAUGGUCCGAGUUUGAAAGAUGGCUUCGGCUAUCACUUUUGGAUGGUCCCGCGGCGUAUUAGCUAGAUGGUGAGGUAACGGCUCACCAUGGCAAUGAUACGUAGCCGACCUGAGAGGGUAAUCGGCCACAUUGGGACUGAGACACGGCCCAAACUCCUACGGGAGGCAGCAGUAGGGAAUCUUCCACAAUGGACGAAAGUCUGAUGGAGCAACGCCGCGUGAGUGAAGAAGGGUUUCGGCUCGUAAAACUCUGUUGUUAAAGAAGAACAUAUCUGAGAGUAACUGUUCAGGUAUUGACGGUAUUUAACCAGAAAGCCACGGCUAACUACGUGCCAGCAGCCGCGGUAAUACGUAGGUGGCAAGCGUUGUCCGGAUUUAUUGGGCGUAAAGCGAGCGCAGGCGGUUUUUUAAGUCUGAUGUGAAAGCCUUCGGCUCAACCGAAGAAGUGCAUCGGAAACUGGGAAACUUGAGUGCAGAAGAGGACAGUGGAACUCCAUGUGUAGCGGUGAAAUGCGUAGAUAUAUGGAAGAACACCAGUGGCGAAGGCGGCUGUCUGGUCUGUAACUGACGCUGAGGCUCGAAAGUAUGGGUAGCAAACAGGAUUAGAUACCCUGGUAGUCCAUACCGUAAACGAUGAAUGCUAAGUGUUGGAGGGUUUCCGCCCUUCAGUGCUGCAGCUAACGCAUUAAGCAUUCCGCCUGGGGAGUACGGCCGCAAGGCUGAAACUCAAAGGAAUUGACGGGGGCCCGCACAAGCGGUGGAGCAUGUGGUUUAAUUCGAAGCUACGCGAAGAACCUUACCAGGUCUUGACAUACUAUGCAAAUCUAAGAGAUUAGACGUUCCCUUCGGGGACAUGGAUACAGGUGGUGCAUGGUUGUCGUCAGCUCGUGUCGUGAGAUGUUGGGUUAAGUCCCGCAACGAGCGCAACCCUUAUUAUCAGUUGCCAGCAUUAAGUUGGGCACUCUGGUGAGACUGCCGGUGACAAACCGGAGGAAGGUGGGGAUGACGUCAAAUCAUCAUGCCCCUUAUGACCUGGGCUACACACGUGCUACAAUGGAUGGUACAACGAGUUGCGAACUCGCGAGAGUAAGCUAAUCUCUUAAAGCCAUUCUCAGUUCGGAUUGUAGGCUGCAACUCGCCUACAUGAAGUCGGAAUCGCUAGUAAUCGCGGAUCAGCAUGCCGCGGUGAAUACGUUCCCGGGCCUUGUACACACCGCCCGUCACACCAUGAGAGUUUGUAACACCCAAAGUCGGUGGGGUAACCUUUUAGGAACCAGCCGCCUAAGG
This 1461-nucleotide ribosomal RNA is filed under the name Lactiplantibacillus plantarum. Its description in RNAcentral is "bacterial SSU rRNA". It matches the Rfam family "Bacterial small subunit ribosomal RNA". Lineage: Bacteria; Bacillati; Bacillota; Bacilli; Lactobacillales; Lactobacillaceae. The record is from RNAcentral.